Non-coding RNA from Paramuricea clavata, 285 nucleotides. NCBI's taxonomy places the organism in Eukaryota, Metazoa, Cnidaria, Anthozoa, Malacalcyonacea, Plexauridae. The record is from the annotation of a GenBank genome assembly.
CAUCUGUCAGAGCUCACGCAAGACAAUAAAGUAUUGAAUUACCAUAUCAUAUAUAAAACAACACAAUUCUGGAGACUCUUUACAUUGUUGAGUCUGGGUUUUUCGAAGCCAGUCAUGAGAUCUCUCGCCAUUAUAACGCUUUUUGCUUGCGUGGUGUUUUACGCAAAUGCGCAACGUAUUUCAUUUCCAUAUCAUGGUGAAGUUAAAGAUCUAAUCGAGGAAAAGGCAUAUGAACCAGACACAGAUGAGCCAGCCACAGAAGGCUAUGAAGAUGGCGAUGAUGAG